UUUAUUUUUUCUGCAGAUGCACUUACAGAUUAAUAGCUUAUGCUGGACCUGGAGACUUGAUGGGGCGAGUCACACUCAGAGUUUAUGGGGCAGGUAAGUGCCCUCUGGACCUGUACAGUACUGCAGUGCCAGUGGUCAGAGGGAUUGGUCAGGGCUACUCAAGCAGAGCAUCUCCACAACACAUUACAUAUAAAACUGCAGGAUUUAGAGACAUUUCUAUUUCAGUCUGACCACAGAUCACCUCUACACACACCUGGAGUCACCCAGAAGCUUUAAAGACUGAAGAUGGGCAAGCUGUUCUUUUCUAUGGUUCUGAUGCUGCUGCUGGGGUUGGUGUGGUGUGAAAAGGUCCAGCCUGUACUCAGUGAUGAUGAUACUGUAAGAGAGCUGCUGGAUCUGAUCAGGUUGAUGGGCAGUGUAGACUGGAAGCCUGAAGAAGACACAGUAUUGGAAGAUUCUCAAGAUGAGCUGUGGUCAGACGCUGAACCUGUGGAGAGGAGAGAUCUUCCACGACUCGGAGUGUCCGUCUACAGGCCAGUAACAACCAGGGUCCAGAGCAGUAACCUGGGUUACAGGAUACCUGGGUGUUCCCAGGUAUCGUUCUUCCUUUCCAACAGAGCGACUGGCCAGAUUCCAUGGCUGAAGAGUGGUUGGUGUGUUUUGUGUGUCUUCCAAUCACAUAACGUUCUUUAACUUCUUGGUGUUUUAUUUAUUUUAUUUUUUUCUCAUCUUGAUUAAAGACACACGUGUCCUUCCUGCAUGAAAUCUGCAUGCUUCCAGAGGUACACAAAGUAGCCUAAACACAUGAGUAUUGGAAUAAUAAAGCGCAGAAAUAUAGAGCUUGAGUAAAAAGU
RNAcentral lists this long non-coding RNA (854 nucleotides) under Astyanax mexicanus (Mexican tetra). RNAcentral describes it as "lncRNA (ENSAMXG00005016513.1)". The record is from RNAcentral. Lineage: Eukaryota; Metazoa; Chordata; Actinopteri; Characiformes; Acestrorhamphidae.